Molecule: long non-coding RNA, 4563 nt
Organism: Mus musculus (house mouse)
Lineage: Eukaryota; Metazoa; Chordata; Mammalia; Rodentia; Muridae
Product: predicted gene, 31388
Exons: 3
Source: RefSeq, a predicted model, not a curated record
GCAAUCUAUAACAGAGAGAUCUUCAUUAGAAGUGUUACUUUUAUUUCUGAAGUGAAAAAUAACUGUCUGGUGUACUGUAAGUGCCAAGUAAAUGUGGUUCCUUCCAAUAAAAUCAAAAGGCAGAAUAUGUUCUUUAAGACCAGGUCUCUAACAAAACUGGGCUUGGGUUGGCACAGUAGAGUAGCUAAGUCUCUGGGUGCUCAUGGAAGCGAAUACCUGAAGCCCAGAAUGGAACAUAAACCCCUGCCAUCAGGCAGUCACUUCAAUCACAGCCAUUUAGUGACCUUGCUUUCUUUAUAGGGUAGAAUCUAGAAGACAUGAUUUAGCAAUGGUUUCUAGAGGUCAUUUGAAAUCAUGACCAUUUUCACCUUGGUCACAUCCUUUCUUAAACAAGCUGUCUGCCCACAAGCAGGAGACUCCAACUGGAAAUGAAUUGACCCGGCUUUAUAUUGCUAUUUAAAUGACGGAAGCAUGCCUGAAUCUGGUUAAUCAGACUUGGUUUCCUGGAGCUGGAGGAAGUACCUGUUAGAAGGCCCUGUGGAUUCUGAGAGGUAGCCGUCAUUUGGGGAGCAGAUAUGAAUGCAGAUGGUUGAGGAGUAAGACAGAUGUGCAGAGAGGCUUAAAGAGAGCACAGCCUGUGGACUCAGGAGGCAGAAACUCAGAGCGAAUGUAGCCCAUGGGACUAAGAAACAGAGGCAUAUGUACAGAGAGACUCAGAGACAAUACAGCCUGUGUGUCUAAGAGACAGAGGCAUGGACUAAGAGACAGAGGCAUAUGUACAGAGAGACUCAGAGACAAUACAGCCUGUGUGUCUAAGAGACAGAGGCAUGGACUAAGAGACAGAGGCAUAUGUACAGAGAGACUCAGAGACAAUACAGCCUGUGGGUCUAAGAGACAGAGGCAUAUGUACAGAGAGACUCAGAAACAAUACAGCCUGUGGGUCUAAGAGACAGAGGCAUAUGUACAGAGAGACUCAGAGACAAUAUAGCCCAUGGUACUAAGAGACAGAGGCAUAUGUACAGAGAGACUCAGAGACAAUACAGCCUGUGUGUCUAAGAGACAGAGGCAUGGACUAAGAGACAGAGGCAUAUGUACAGAGAGACUCAGAGACAAUACAGCCUGUGUGUCUAAGAGACAGAGGCAUGGACUAAGAGACAGAGGCAUAUGUACAGAGAGACUCAGAGACAAUACAGCCUGUGGGUCUAAGAGACAGAGGCAUAUGUACAGAGAGACUCAGAAACAAUACAGCCUGUGGGUCUAAGAGACAGAGGCAUAUGUACAGAGAGACUCAGAGACAAUAUAGCCCAUGGUACUAAGAGACAGAGGCAUAUGUACAGAGAGACUCAGAGACAAUACAGCCUGUGUGUCUAAGAGACAGAGGCAUGGACUAAGAGACAGAGGCAUAUGUACAGAGAGACUCAGAGACAAUACAGCCUGUGUGUCUAAGAGACAGAGGCAUGGACUAAGAGACAGAGGCAUAUGUACAGAGAGACUCAGAGACAAUACAGCCUGUGGGUCUAAGAGGCAGUGAGCUUAUUAUUGUCUUCUCUUGAAAUACAUUCUUUUUGUCAAACCACUUUAACCCAAGCCAGUCAGAAGUUUUGCUGUUUUGUUUUUAAUUCUUAUAGCCAAACCACCCUUAGUGUAUUGACUGUGAUUAGCUAUUGAGUUUAAAUCACAUCAACACUAGGGUUAUCAGAUGUUAAAUUUUGUGUUUUCGUUUCAUCAGCUUCAACACUUGUAGCCUUCAGUUGUAAGUAGGUGAAAGAUAUUUUUUACAUUAGGCUAAAAAACUCUAUCUUUAAAAUAGUAAUAAUAAUCUAACAGAUAGUAGAAGCAGCCAAAAUGUUGCCACAUUGAAGGGCACAGUUUCCUUUAGCCUGAGGACAACCCUGUAGGGUAGUAUUACUCCUGUUUUUACAGAAUGAGGAAGUAAGGUGCAGAGGGGGUUCCCCACUAGCCUAAAGACUCAGAAUUAACUCGGAGCAUGAGGACUGCCAGGCAACCUGAUGCCAAGUCUGCUCUUAGCCAGUUGCACUGACUGCUCUGUCUAUUUUGAGAUUUUGCACAUGGAGAAACCAGUUACAAACAAGUUUACCAUUAACCCUUGAUUUUCUGGCCAUGGACUAACUUUGUGGUCUAGUUCUGACAGGCGCCUGAGCUCAGUAAACGGGAUCUACUCAAGAUGGUCAUGAUAUAAAUUUGUUAUUUGGAUCACAAAGGAUGGCCUGAUGGAACUAAUUAGUAGGCUGUGCAUAUAUUAGUGUUAUAUUUAGAGGAUUGUAUUACAUGUAUAAUAUGAUUUAUAACUAUAAUCUUAUUUUGCCAUCUUCCUCCUACUACCUAGCACCAAUUGCUCAUAUUAAAAAGUCCUCCUUGAAACAUUGAAAUGAGACUAUCCCAAUUCCUGAUAUACUUUAUUCACUAAUAAAAAAUUGUACCCAAGUAAAAUACCGUAUCUUUUUGAGCAAGUAGUGGAGAGGAGCUCACCCAGGUCUCUGCUCCCUUCUCUGAGUCCAGUUUCACUAUGCUGCUCCACAGGGUAGAACUAAUGUGUACCCCACUAGUCUUAAACUAGCAUGGAUACUCCCUCAUCUGCCUUCCAAGGACCUUCAAAGGAUUAUAAGCUACCUACCACACAAGAAACUAACCCUGAUUCUACCCAUGAACCAACAGUUGGUUUAGAAAACAAAAUUGAACCAUGAUUGGAUUGUUGGGGAUUAAAAUAUUUGUACUAUCUCACAAACCUAACAUUAGGUUGCAUCGUAAGCCGUUCAGCCACCGAUCCCCACGAUGGCAGCUUUAGGAAGUUUAUGAAGGAACCUGGACAGCAUCAGGAAUAGCACCUCAUUUCACCAAGACCAAAAAGGCCACUAGAACUAAGAGAUUUCUCUCCAGCAUCAAAUGGUAUGAGCAGAAGGACAGGAUUGAGAACUGAACAUUUUUGUAUGUUUAAAACACUCCUCAAUUCUUACAACUAUACUUCUGUCAAAUUUUGAUAAUUCUCAUUGCUACCAAAAUAUAACUCUCUCAGUAGAGCCAUGGUCACUAUGUUGGGUCAAUUCAAGAUAUUUUUUUUUUGUGUGUAAUUUGCUGAAUGAAAAUUUAUCUUCAUUAUGAUCAUGUUCUCUUGAGGAAUGAAGAAGGACUACUACAAGAUGGUGGAAGACAGAACUUUUUUUUUUAAGGGGGAUUUGUUUGUUUGCCUGUUUGGUUGGUUUUGUUGUUGAUGCUGUUGUUUUUUAGUCUGUGGCAUACAGUGUGAAGAAAAUGGUAUCCUUCGGUACCUAAAAACAGUACAUAAGAAACAGCUCAGCACCUGGGAACAAGAAUGAAGUCCAGGACCCACAACACACAGGUUUCCAGAGAACUCUGAUUCCAGGGCAAGGCCAUGCCUGCAGAAGUGACAAGUGUCUGGGGGACACUGACCCCAUGGAAUGGCAGCCAUGACCACUGAUGGGAGGAAGUGGCAGAUCUCAGUGAACAGAAUUGGAGUUUGGAAGGUCUCCCAAAGAAUUCAUCAAUUCAGACAUGCUCAAACUGCGAUGCCUGCCGUGUGCCCAGUGUGAACAGGGACAAUGCCAAUUCAAGUCUACUGGCUCUCUUCAUGAUCUGUUCUUUAAAGAUUUGAAGAACAAUUACCUCUGCUUACCUGAAGGAAGAAAGUAAAGAAGGAGAGGACUCCUAGGCCCAAGAAGACCAGGGAGAACAUGUUACACUUUUGCUGCUUCACUGCGUCAUCCCCAGGGCCAAAGAUCUAGAAGAGAACAUAAAAACCUGGGUGUCUGGAUCCACCCUGCUAAUUCCUACCCCAGGCAGUGGCUUGAGGGUCACAUCGGUGAAAGUAGAUUUUGAAUAUGUGGCUUUUCCAAAUUAUGAUAAAAUACAACUAGCAUACCAUUUUAACCCUUAUUAAUUGUACAGUCCAGGGGUAUUACAUAUAUGCAUCUUGUCAUAUAGCCUCUACCACCACCACCACCACCACCCCAAGUUGCCAACAUGUUUUCAUGAUCCCAAUAGACAUUUCCUUGUUUCUGCUCCUGCAUUUGUGUCUUUGGAGAUUAUAGGUCACAACUAGGUUGAGCCCAGCAAUGGGCUCCCCUUCUUCUGUCCCCAGCCCUAGGCCUCCACCUUCCAUUCUGGGGGCGCCUCCUUCCUCCAUCACCAUACACUGCUUUUAAAACACUCAUUAGCACCUGGAACAUUAUAAAUCUGUAUUUUUGUUUCUGCCUUGUAUGUGUUAGCACAGAAGAAGUUGGCUUUUGUAGGCACAACUUAGUUUCUUUUGUGAAUUGUCUUUCUAGUGACUGGAUUCUAAAAAAUUGUACCUGUAACUUAUGUAUCUCUCGAACUGCAAGAAAGUCAAGGAUUGUCUUACAUUGAAAUUUAAUAGGAUUCAGAGGGUCGUUUUACAUUUUUCAUUGUUUGUUUAUGGUCUUAAUGUAUAUCAACGCCCAAUAUCAUGAGACUAAUACAUUUUAGCUUAUUGGAGGAGAAUUUGUUCUUAUCCAAUAUGUCUCUCCAGUAAUAAUAGAAGGUAAUAAAGGAGUUUAUAUAACAUAA